AACUGAUUCUCCUCCUCCGAGCUGCCUGAAGAAAAAUCUCAGAAUGGAAAAACAGUCACAAUAGAGUUAAGUUUGAAACUACUGUAUUAGAAGUUGAUCUGUUGCAAUGUCCAGGAUGUGCAAUGGCAGAAAGGGAAAUAAGUGAGUAAAACCACAAGAACCACCUCCCCCCUAGAAACAAGGUUAAAAACAUGUUUUUUGGAGAACUUUAAUUUUCAGCUAGGUGCUGGCCGAUGUGGUAUUAGCAGUCUCAUCUGAGAUUAUAAAACCAUUCAAUUAGCAAUCCCCGAAAAAAAGUGAUGAGGAGUGGCAUAUUGUUUAUGAUAUCUUACCUUGUUAACAUUACAGCUAGCAGUGGGCCAGAGCUCUUGGUUUUGCAAUACCCCGAAGAUGCCAGUGUGCUCCUUAACUCCACUGUGUGGAUGCUUUGUGUCUUUGAAUACCCCAAGGAGGAGAAUGAGGAGCCAGUUGUGUACUGGAGGAAGGGCCCCAGCUGUGACAACCAGCAGAGUCUUCGGUCAAGUUCAGGAGCAGGCAGGCCACACAUACACAUUAUCAAGGACAUAUUCAGGGGAUUCUCUAUCUUAAAACUGAGCAGUGUUGACAAGAAUGACAGCAGCUCAUAUUUCUGUGAUGUGAUACUAACCCAGAAAACCCACGGCAAAUGUGGAAAAGGAACCAAGCUGACAGUGCACGCCUCGAUUUAUAUAAACAAUUCCUGUAAUCCUGAAGGGGACAGUGACCUCAGUGACUGAGAUUUCAUAUGCAAAGACUGUAUAAGAUCAGAACCGACUUGGUGGUGUUGGUUCCUUCUUCUUGGAUACACUCUCUUUGUCACCACAGUUAUCAUAGCUUUUGGUAUUCAUCAGUGCUGUAAAAAGUGCAAGAAUGAUUCAAGAAAUACAGAUAGCAGCACUACCCUGCCAAGUGAAUGGAUUUAUGAUAAGCCAUCCAAACCUGUUAAUAAUGGGUCUAACCAAGAAUAUGAAGAUAUGUCACUAAUAAGAACUUUCAGUCACAUUGAAAGGAAAGUGAUAUGAAAAACAAG
Gallus gallus (chicken) is the source of this 1048-nucleotide long non-coding RNA. NCBI's taxonomy places the organism in Eukaryota, Metazoa, Chordata, Aves, Galliformes, Phasianidae. The record is from Ensembl.